RNAcentral lists this ribosomal RNA (385 nucleotides) under uncultured bacterium. RNAcentral describes it as "bacterial SSU rRNA". It matches the Rfam family "Bacterial small subunit ribosomal RNA", at positions 370 to 772 of the family's 1533-position model. The record is from RNAcentral.
AAUGGGGGAAACCCUGAUGCAGCAACGCCGCGUGAGCGAUGAAGGCCUUCGGGUUGUAAAGCUCUGUCUUCGCUGACGAUAAUGACGGUAAGCGAGGAGGAAGCCACGGCUAACUACGUGCCAGCAGCCGCGGUAAUACGUAGGUGGCAAGCGUUGUCCGGAAUUACUGGGCGUAAAGGAUGCGUAGGCGGCCUCUUAAGUGGGAUGUGAAAUGCCGGGGCUUAACCCCGGAGGUGCAUUCCAUACUGGGAGGCUAGAGUGCAGGAGAGGAAAGCGGAAUUCCCAGUGUAGCGGUGAAAUGCGUAGAGAUUGGGAGGAACACCAGUGGCGAAGGCGGCUUUCUGGACUGUAACUGACGCUGAGGCAUGAAAGUGUGGGGAGCAAA